Neofelis nebulosa (Clouded leopard) is the source of this 2107-nucleotide long non-coding RNA. RefSeq lists it as uncharacterized. NCBI's taxonomy places the organism in Eukaryota, Metazoa, Chordata, Mammalia, Carnivora, Felidae. The record is from RefSeq and is a predicted model, not a curated record. The transcript is spliced from 5 exons.
GCCGCCUCCUGAGCGGCUGUCGGGGGCCCGCCCAGCUGUUGACAAAGGCCGCACUGUAGAACCCGGGUUUGGUGAAGGGUUGGAUUCCAAGCCACCACUUGUUAGGCCUCCCACUGGUCAUAGCUACACAAAGUGUAAUCAUAAGAAAACAUCAGAGAAACCCCAGUCGAAGGAUAUUAUGCACAGGGCCUGACCAGUACUCCUCAAAAUUGAUUAUGGUUAUCAAGAACAAGGAAAGUCUUAGAAACUGUCAAGCCAAGAGAAGCCUAUGGAGACAUUACAACUAACUGUAAUAUGAUAUCUUGGAUGGGAUCCUGGAAAAGAAGAAAAGAUAUUAGGUCUCUAGACUUUUGUUGAGUGAAGAACAAUUUACUAUGAGGUGACCUACAAAAACAACACUCAGAAUUCUCUCAAAUCACAUUGGUCAGUGCAAUCAGCUCUCAGAUAUUUGCUUGAGAAGCAGCCACAGGAGGCCAGCAAGAGGCAGAGAAGCUGGGGCCUUCCAAGGGGCCAGAAAGGAAGCAGGAGGAUCUUGGGUCAUGAUGUGGGACCUGAUGACACACAGUGGAACAGCAUCCAGAAGAGCUGCUGAGGUCAAAAAGGGGAAUCAAAAUGAUAUUCACUUGAGUGGAUCUCUUGUGGACACCAGUGAAGGGCUGAAUUGUAUAUGGAGGUUGACAUGGGGCCUUUGAAUCAUGAUGGCUUACACAGUUGCAAGAGCCCAGAAGCAGAAGCACCAGGAAAAUUCACAGCAGACUUGCUUUGGACUUCCCUGGACUGUGGAAAUGGGGAUUGGGACCAAUCUCUUCCAGAGUUCAAAGAUGAAGGAGGCCCCAGCUGACAACUGGGUUACAAGGACUCAGGAAAUCCUGUUUGAGGAGAAGGCCAAAGGCUCAAUCAAGACUUCUCUAUAUUGCAGCUUGACAGUAGAGGUGCAAAAAUCCUAGACAGCAUAGAAAGGGAAACAAGAGUAAAACCUGAUCCAAUGUCCAGCAUCAAAGGAGUGGAGUAUCUCUGCAAGGUGGAGUUGCUGAAGCUACUAAAAAGUAUGGGGUCAUUCCUGCAGAACCAGCAAUGAUUUGACUAGUAAGUGUGGGAGUGUGGGCCCAGCUGCCACUGGCUCUGGGAGAAAACAUUGUUGUUGUCCUCUUGCUGUGCCCUGGCCUGGGCCAUUUGCCUAGACGUUGCAUCUGGGAUGUAAUAAGGGGUCUGCUGAGGCUGUCUAAACCUGCCCCCCACUCCCUAUUCUUGCUAUCUCAUGGGAAGAACAGUGGAAUAAUUAGAAGAGACCCAAGAAGCAUCUCUGGGGAUGUCCGAAGACCACCAAGGGCUCAGGACCAGUACUUUCAUAUCUUCCUUACAACUGAAGGCCAGGUCUUGGAAAACACAAGAGACUUCAGGGAAGAAGCUCUGGCUACAGGGAUCAGGCCAGGGUGGAAUUUGCAAUUCUUAGACUCUAGUACCUAAAUAAGACCAAACAUGGAAGACAAGCCUACCCAGAUACUUGCUUAUCUGACUGAAUUAUCUGAAUAUAGAACAGAAUGGAGAAAGUGCCCAGUCAAAAUGCACAAGGCAGAAUCCAUAACAGAACUCUUGGCUCCAGGGCACUUACCUAGAAUUCCAGCUGUUGCAGACUUGGGCUUCCCUGUCUUCAUGCUCACCACCAACUUACUUUAGACCCAUGCUGUUGAAGGACAUGAAACAAUUGCUGCUUACUUACUCCUUGGUCAAUACAUAUGCCGGUCAGAAUCCUCUGUAUGUCACUUCCUCCAGCACCUGCCCAGGCUGGGGGUAGGAGGGACAGUCUUGGUCCCCAGCCUCUCCUGAUCAUCCUGCUCUAAGUAGCCAUUCAUGCACUCUGACUCCUAACCUAUGAAACCCACCCAGCCAUCUCUCUCCUGGACCACUGUAGCAGCCUCCAGUUUGUCCCCCAUUCCCUGCCCCCAACCUCUGCCACACAAAUCCAUAGCUACAGAAAGCUACUUGAUCAUGAUCAAUUUUCUUAAGACACAAUUUGGAUCAAGUUGUUGACUUGGUCUGAACAUCUUCAAUGCCAUCCUCAGCACUUAUAGAAUAAAAGCUAAGUCCCUCAGUGGGAUAUCCAGAA